Molecule: ribosomal RNA, 849 nt
Filed under: Bacillus subtilis
Lineage: Bacteria; Bacillati; Bacillota; Bacilli; Caryophanales; Bacillaceae
Description: bacterial SSU rRNA
Rfam family: Bacterial small subunit ribosomal RNA
Source: RNAcentral
CGAACGCUGGCGGCGUGCCUAAUACAUGCAAGUCGAGCGGACAGAUGGGAGCUUGCUCCCUGAUGUUAGCGGCGGACGGGUGAGUAACACGUGGGUAACCUGCCUGUAAGACUGGGAUAACUCCGGGAAACCGGGGCUAAUACCGGAUGGUUGUUUGAACCGCAUGGUUCAAACAUAAAAGGUGGCUUCGGCUACCACUUACAGAUGGACCCGCGGCGCAUUAGCUAGUUGGUGAGGUAACGGCUCACCAAGGCAACGAUGCGUAGCCGACCUGAGAGGGUGAUCGGCCACACUGGGACUGAGACACGGCCCAGACUCCUACGGGAGGCAGCAGUAGGGAAUCUUCCGCAAUGGACGAAAGUCUGACGGAGCAACGCCGCGUGAGUGAUGAAGGUUUUCGGAUCGUAAAGCUCUGUUGUUAGGGAAGAACAAGUACCGUUCGAAUAGGGCGGUACCUUGACGGUACCUAACCAGAAAGCCACGGCUAACUACGUGCCAGCAGCCGCGGUAAUACGUAGGUGGCAAGCGUUGUCCGGAAUUAUUGGGCGUAAAGGGCUCGCAGGCGGUUUCUUAAGUCUGAUGUGAAAGCCCCCGGCUCAACCGGGGAGGGUCAUUGGAAACUGGGGAACUUGAGUGCAGAAGAGGAGAGUGGAAUUCCACGUGUAGCGGUGAAAUGCGUAGAGAUGUGGAGGAACACCAGUGGCGAAGGCGACUCUCUGGUCUGUAACUGACGCUGAGGAGCCAAAGCGUGGGGAGCGAACAGGAUUAGAUACCCUGGUAGUCCACGCCGUAAACCAUGAGUGCUAAGUGUUAGGGGGUUUUCGCCCCUUAGUGCUGCAGCUAACGCAU